This 92-nucleotide ribosomal RNA is filed under the name Veillonella hominis. Its description in RNAcentral is "partial 16S ribosomal RNA". It matches the Rfam family "Bacterial small subunit ribosomal RNA", at positions 1 to 88 of the family's 1533-position model. The record is from RNAcentral. Lineage: Bacteria; Bacillati; Bacillota; Negativicutes; Veillonellales; Veillonellaceae.
AUCUUGGAGAGUUUGAUCCUGGCUCAGGACGAACGCUGGCGGCGUGCUUAACACAUGCAAGUCGAACGAAGAGCGAUGGAAGCUUGCUUCUA